UUCCUACGGGAGGCAGCAGUGAGGAAUAUUGGUCAAUGGCCGAGAGGCUGAACCAGCCAAGUCGCGUGAGGGAUGACGGCCCUACGGGUUGUAAACCUCUUUUGUCGGGGAGCAAGACCCGCCUCGUGCAGGCGGAGCGAGAGUACCCGAAGAAAAAGCAUCGGCUAACUCCGUGCCAGCAGCCGCGGUAAUACGGAGGAUGCGAGCGUUAUCCGGAUUUACUGGGUGUAAAGGGAGCGUAGGCGGCGAUGCAAGUCAGAAGUGAAAGCCCGGGGC
Molecule: ribosomal RNA, 276 nt
Filed under: uncultured bacterium
Lineage: Bacteria
Description: partial 16S ribosomal RNA
Rfam family: Bacterial small subunit ribosomal RNA
Source: RNAcentral